UACGUAGGGUGCGAGCGUUGUCCGGAUUUAUUGGGCGUAAAGAGCUCGUAGGCGGUCUGUCGCGUCGGCUGUGAAACCCCGAGGCUCAACCUCGGGCCUGCAGUCGAUACGGGCAGACUAGAGUGUGGUAGGGGAGACUGGAAUUCCUGGUGUAGCGGUGAAAUGCGCAGAUAUCAGGAGGAACACCGGUGGCGAAGGCGGGUCUCUGGGCCAUAACUGACGCUGAGGAGCGAAAGCGUGGGGAGCGAACAGG
This 253-nucleotide ribosomal RNA is filed under the name uncultured bacterium. RNAcentral describes it as "partial 16S ribosomal RNA". It matches the Rfam family "Bacterial small subunit ribosomal RNA", at positions 524 to 776 of the family's 1533-position model. The record is from RNAcentral.